CGGGGGUGGCCGAGCCAGGUCAAAGGGCUAGAACCGACCAUAGGCGCAGGGCUUAGGACCCUGUGGCGUAGGCCUGCGCGGGUUCAAAUCCCGCCCCCCGCA
This 102-nucleotide transfer RNA is filed under the name Thermofilum sp. ex4484_15. RNAcentral describes it as "tRNA-Leu". It matches the Rfam family "tRNA". From Rfam's summary of the family: Transfer RNA (tRNA) molecules are approximately 80 nucleotides in length. The record is from RNAcentral. Lineage: Archaea; Thermoproteati; Thermoproteota; Thermoprotei; Thermofilales; Thermofilaceae.